GUGGGGGGGGGGGGAUGAUGGACAGUGCUGCCCGCGAGGCCGGGAGGCCUUUGGGGGCUUUGGGGCCGCGGAGGGCUCCGAGCGCUCUGGGGCGCGUUGGGUGGGGUUGGAGGGACCACCCGGGGAGGGACGGUAAGCCCAACUCGGACCCCGGCUUCAGAGGCGUCCUGGUCUCGAAAGAGACGGGAAAGCGUCUCUGGCCCCGGGGGCUUCAGGGCGGGCUGAGGUCUGAACCAGCACCCCGAGACUCUUGGGCAAGGGCCCGUUAGCAAUCAGAGCUGUAGAGCGGCAGCCGCCACAUCCCGAAGUGAUUGCGCCGUAAUGUAAAUGGGGAAACGGGAAGGUGGACACGGGGCCACGGGAGGCAAGUGGAUAAAGAUGCACAGCUUAAAAAAAAAAACCUAUGAAGUUACUAGAAGAAUAUAUAGGUUAUCUUGUAGAAUUUUGGGGUAGCGUGUUCUUCUGAAGCUGUCAAAAACCAUAGAACAGUUGGCAGAUUUGACUACUAAAAAAUGAAAAGCUGGGCAGCCAAGGUGGUGACCAGAGAGCAGGAGACUUGGGCUGUGCCGGAGCUGGAAGGGCGCCUUGCCCUCCAGGAAGAUGAUGGUGGAGGAAGUAAGGACCAACCAUAGAAUUACGCCAAAGAAAAAUGCCAAAGUCUUGAGAGAAGAGAGAACCUGCCAAAGAGAAAAUAAGCGACACUCCCAAUUCCUGAAAGAGCUCCCAAAUGUAACAAGAUUGCAAAACAAUGUUUCUAGAGUACCUUGGUGAUCCGCUAUACCUUCGAUGACAAGAAAGGGAUGAAUUUAGAACAGAAUCUGCCAGUGGGAAUGAAGAGGAAAAUAGAGAACCCUUGGAGUGUUGAAGCUAGAACUGUUUGCCUUUUUCAACCAAUAAAAAUAAAAUUGA
Long non-coding RNA from Manis javanica (Malayan pangolin), 909 nucleotides. RefSeq lists it as uncharacterized. NCBI's taxonomy places the organism in Eukaryota, Metazoa, Chordata, Mammalia, Pholidota, Manidae. The record is from RefSeq and is a predicted model, not a curated record.